RNAcentral lists this ribosomal RNA (466 nucleotides) under Vreelandella stevensii. RNAcentral describes it as "partial 16S ribosomal RNA". It matches the Rfam family "Bacterial small subunit ribosomal RNA", at positions 338 to 795 of the family's 1533-position model. Lineage: Bacteria; Pseudomonadati; Pseudomonadota; Gammaproteobacteria; Oceanospirillales; Halomonadaceae. The record is from RNAcentral.
CCUACGGGCGGGCAGCAGUGGGGAAUAUUGGACAAUGGGGGGAACCCUGAUCCAGCCAUGCCGCGUGUGUGAAGAAGGCCCUCGGGUUGUAAAGCACUUUCAGUGAGGAAGAACGCCUGGUGGUUAAUACCCAUCAGGAAAGACAUCACUCACAGAAGAAGCACCGGCUAACUCCGUGCCAGCAGCCGCGGUAAUACGGAGGGUGCGAGCGUUAAUCGGAAUUACUGGGCGUAAAGCGCGCGUAGGUGGCUUGAUAAGCCGGUUGUGAAAGCCCCGGGCUCAACCUGGGAACGGCAUCCGGAACUGUCAAGCUAGAGUGCAGGAGAGGAAGGUAGAAUUCCCGGUGUAGCGGUGAAAUGCGUAGAGAUCGGGAGGAAUACCAGUGGCGAAGGCGGCCUUCUGGACUGACACUGACACUGAGGUGCGAAAGCGUGGGUAGCAAACAGGAUUAGAUACCCCAGUAGUC